Carya illinoinensis is the source of this 3176-nucleotide RNA transcript. It is a transcript of the gene named protein MODIFIED TRANSPORT TO THE VACUOLE 1-like, with no coding region annotated. NCBI's taxonomy places the organism in Eukaryota, Viridiplantae, Streptophyta, Magnoliopsida, Fagales, Juglandaceae. The transcript is spliced from 6 exons. The record is from RefSeq and is a predicted model, not a curated record.
CGCGACUUGGCAGAACAGCGAACUUUCAACGUAAACCCCACACGAGUCGGUGCGUCACCCCCCAACUCUCCUGUCGACCUCUUUUCCUUCUCUCCCUGUGCUCUUCUCCUUGUACGAUUCCAAACCCUUAUUCCUACUCUCUAUCUCUCUCUCUGAGGCCCCAAUUUUUGAGCUAUUCUUAUUUCUUAUCUAUUUGUUUCCAUGUAUAAUAAAUUCACGGCAGCCUGAAAAUUGGGGGCCAUAAGUUAUCAAAUUAGUGCAUGUUCGGGGCUCUCUCAUUCGAUCAAUCUUGCAUGUUAGGGUCCGCCGACCUAUAAACUUUGGGGUUUUUCUCAAUAAUUCUGUUCCGAUCGAAUAGGGCCCUCCGGCUCCCGAAUUGGGUAAUUUCGAUUCUGUGUUUCUGUAUUGAAUUGAAUCGGAUCGUCUUUGAGCUCUUAAAUUUUGUACAAAAUAGGGGCUUUCUUAAUCUUUUCUACUGCCUUUGAAUUAUACCGGUCUGGUGUUCAGUGAUUUGUGAAAGUUAGGAUUUUCUUUGCGAAUUGGGUGAAAAUGGAUUCAAGCCGGAGAGCGGUGGAGUCGUAUUGGAGGUCGCGGAUGAUCGACGCCGCCACAUCGGACGAGGACAAGGUCACACCGGUGUACAAGUUGGAGGAGAUCUGCGAUCUCCUGCGAUCUUCGCAUGUCAGUAUUGUAAAGGAGGUCUCGGAGUUUAUCCUGAAGCGGCUCGAGCACAAGAGCCCGAUUGUUAAGCAAAAGGCUCUUAGGUUGAUAAAAUACUCGGUGGGGAAAUCUGGUGUGGAGUUUAGGAGGGAAAUGCAGAGACAUUCAGCAGCCGUUCGCCAGUUAUUUCACUAUAAGGGACAGUUAGAUGCUUUGAAAGGGGAUGCACUUAACAAGGCUGUGCGGGACACUGCUCAUGAGGCAAUCUCUGCUAUUUUUUCUGCAGAGAAUGAUAAGCCAGCUCCUGCUGAAGAUCUUAACAAAAGAAUACAGGGGUUUGGAAAUACGAACUUUGAAAUGCCAUCAGAAGAAAGGAAAUCAUUUCUCAGUGAGGUAGUAGGUCUUGGAAGUGCAUCUAUAAAGCAGGGAAUUAGCAAUUUCACACAAGGUCAUAUGGUGAAAAAGAAUGACAAUGGAAGUUACAAGGGUCCAAAUCUUCGGAGGUCAUUGACUAUAGAAUCUGAUUAUGCAGAUAGAUAUGAACCUGUUGAUUAUCACAAUGAAACUCAGGGUAGUUUUGGGAUUUCAAAGAAUGUGGCCAGUGGACCUUGGAACCAGGACUCAAGAGUAUCUAAGAUAGAAAUAACCAACGGGGACUCCAGUUCAAGUUCUAAAGAAAGUAGGACUUGUGAAGAGAGGUUAUUGGAGACCAUUGUAACAUCAGGUGGUGUACGUCUACAGCCUACUCGAGAUGCUGUUCAAAUUUUCCUUGUCGAGGCUGCAAAGUUGGAUGCUUUGGUUUUAAGUCGAGCCCUUGAGUCAAAGCUCCAAUCUCCCCAGUGGCAGGUUCGCAUGAAAGCUGUCUGUGUCCUUGAGUCAAUACUGAGGAAAACGGAUGAUGAUCAUUUUGUCACUGUGGAGUCUUAUUUCAGUGAAAAUAAAGAUGCAGUGUUGAGAUGUUCUGAAUCUCCUCAAUCUUCUCUGAGGGAAAAAGCUAACAAGGUUUUAAGCCUUUUGGGUGGAGAACACACAAACAGCACAGCUACUUAUACAGAAAGGACUGUGAAGAGUGAUGCUACUAAUGCUGUUCAAAUGCCCAACUUAAUAGACACUGGUGAUCCAGAUGAUUAUGAUGAUAAUUCUACAAAGAAUCAAAGUGAGCAGAAUCCAGCAAAUGUUUCAAUGCCAGCCCCUCUAAUUGAUGACUUGUUUGGAGAUGGUCUGGGCACUGUUGCAAGCACUUCUGAACUAAAAAGCGAUGAUGACCCCUUUGCGGAUGUGUCUUUUCAUGCUAGUGAUAGUGGGGAACAUGCAGAUGACCUCUUUUCUGGGAUGACUGUUGAUGAUAAACAGGUUGCUAAUGGAAAUCAUAUGGCAGAAAAGAAAACUGGAGCUGAACUUUUAGAUUUAUUUGGCUCCAGUCAUGAACUUCCUCAGGAGCAAGAAAGUCAUAAAAAAGAUUUCAAUGACUUGAUGGCUGGUUUUUCACUUAAUGAAAAUGCCUCCAACAUGAAGCCGAAAGCAACCUCUCCUGGAGCUUUUUCAGAAACUCUGUUUUCAGAUUCAGAUAGUAAUUCCCAGAAUCAGGUUUCCAAUGACACUUUGGGUGCCAUGUUUAGUUCUCAAACGUCCACAAUGAAUCCAAAUGCUGUGUUCCCCCCUGGUGCUAUGUCAUACCAUAUGCCUCCUGGCUUCAUGCUCAACCCUGCAUUUUCUUCUCAGCCAAUAAAUUAUGCUGCCAUGGGGAGUCUUUUUGCUCAGCAGCAAUUGCUAGCAAGCCUCCAACACCUUGGGAACAUGAAUGCCCAAAAUGCUGGUGUCAGUCAUGUUGGUGGUAGUAAUGGAGCAUAUUCUUCACCCCUUCCUGAUGUAUUCCAAUCAAACUUUCCUAUUCAAACUCCUAGUUCACUGAUGAACGGUUCAAAGAAAGAGGAUACCAGAGCUUUUGACUUUAUCUCCGACCAUGUUGCUGCAGCUCGUGAUCAAAAGAGGAUGGUUUGAAUUUUGAGCUUAUGCUUUAUCAGAAAGGACUGGUUUAGGACUUCGAUUAUGGCUUUACAGCGUGUAGAAGGAUAUACAGUUGACAACAAAGAAGUUCUCUGUAGUUGUUUCAUGACAUCCAGCCGCUCGGAGAAUAUGGAGAAGGAAGCUAAAUGCAGUGUAAGAAAGCAGGAUUAGCAGAAUGGCAAGGGGAAAACGGCAAACUCAACGGAAGGCAAGUAAGAAUUUACCAAGUAUGGCAUGUACUUUUUUAUUGCCGCUAGCAUAGCUGCAUGACCUAUAGCAGAUACCUGGAUGUGGUAAGGAAGGGAAAAUUAAUCAGAUCUUUUAGGGAUCACUUGGGAGUAAUAGAAUAAAAUAGUUAUAGCAAGAUGAGCAAAAGUUGCCUAGUGUGAACCUAAUUACAUUACAGUUUUAGUGGUAUGAAUCGCAUGUCAUACUCACAUGAUAAAAGGGCACAUAAAUUGUUGGCCUUUAAUUCAGGUUUAAUUAUUUACUUAAAAGUCAUUCCUGUA